UUUAACUGAAGAGUUUGAUCAUGGCUCAGAUUGAACGCUGGCGGCAGGCUUAACACAUGCAAGUCGAGCGGGGUGAUAGUGCUUGCACUAUCACUUAGCGGCGG
This 104-nucleotide ribosomal RNA is filed under the name Acinetobacter pittii. Its description in RNAcentral is "partial 16S ribosomal RNA". It matches the Rfam family "Bacterial small subunit ribosomal RNA", at positions 1 to 101 of the family's 1533-position model. The record is from RNAcentral. Lineage: Bacteria; Pseudomonadati; Pseudomonadota; Gammaproteobacteria; Moraxellales; Moraxellaceae.